This 538-nucleotide ribosomal RNA is filed under the name uncultured archaeon. RNAcentral's name for it is "bacterial SSU rRNA". It matches the Rfam family "Archaeal small subunit ribosomal RNA", at positions 460 to 997 of the family's 1478-position model. The record is from RNAcentral.
AGCCGCCGCGGUAACGACCGGCGGCCCGAGUGGUGAUCGUGAUUAUUGGGUCUAAAGGGUCCGUAGCCGGUUGGUCAGUCCUCCGGGAAAUCUGAUAGCUCAACUAUUAGGCUUUCGGGGGAUACUGCCAGACUGGAACCGGGAGAGGUAAGAGGUACUACAGGGGUAGGAGUGAAAUCUUGUAAUCCCUGUGGGACCACCUGUGGCGAAGGCGUCUUACCAGAACGGGUUCGACGGUGAGGGACGAAAGCUGGGGGCACGAACCGGAUUAGAUACCCGGGUAGUCCCAGCCGUAAACGAUGCUCGCUAGGUGUCAGGCAUGGCGCGACCGUGUCUGGUGCCGCAGGGAAGCCGUGAAGCGAGCCACCUGGGAAGUACGGCCGCAAGGCUGAAACUUAAAGGAAUUGGCGGGGGAGCACAACAACGGGUGGAGCCCUGCGGUUUAAUUGGACUCAACGCCGGACAACUCACCGGGGGCGACAGCAAUAUGUAGGCCAAGCUGAAGACUUUGCCUGAAUCGCUGAGAAGAGGUGCAUGG